CAAAAUUUCGAUUAAAAUAAAUUAAAUAUUUUUUAAAUACAUACCGGGAGCAGAAGCUCAAGCCUCUUAAAAUAUUAUAAAAAAUACGAUUACAAACAAUCUCAGGUCCUCAAUAAAAUAUAAGAACAGACAUAUCAGAGUGACUCCGAAAUUAGUGGCGUAUCAAAUAGAUAACAAUUAGAUGUAAGAGAAUCCGUUUAUUGUUUGCAAUCCAUAAUCAAGUUACAAAAGAAAAGGAAGACAUUCGAAAAAGUUUAAAAAUCAUAAUACCCUAAGCUAUGUACUCAGUACAAAUAUUUUUAUCAGAGCUUUGGUGCUAAGUCGGAAGGGGUUAUUGAACUGGUAGAAUUUGAUAAAGAAAAUAAUUUAAAUACAAAUAUUUGGAAUCAAGUCCAAAAAAAUUAGAGAAUAUGCGAUUUCGAUUUCUUAUUUUAGAAGAAACACUCUAAUGUAUAUAUUUGAUAAUUAUUGUAA
This is a long non-coding RNA of Teleopsis dalmanni, 474 nucleotides long. RefSeq lists it as uncharacterized. The transcript has 3 exons. Lineage: Eukaryota; Metazoa; Arthropoda; Insecta; Diptera; Diopsidae. The record is from RefSeq and is a predicted model, not a curated record.